UAUGCUUCAUAUAUAUAAACUAUAACAUUGACACUAUUUUUAUUAGUAAAAAACACUUUAAAAAUAUAUAAAUAACACUAGACAAAAGUUGAAAUAAAAUACUAAAAACGGUAUGCUUCAUAUUUAUAAACUAUAACAUUGACACUAUUUUUGUUAGUAUAAAACACUUUUAAAAUAUCUAAAUGACAAUAUUUUUGUUAAUAAAUGACAUUAUCUGCAUUAAUAAAUAAAGCCUAAUAUUUGAAAGAAAAAAAACAGAAAAUUUCGCCCAAAAGAAGAAAUAAACAGCAAAAUUUUUAAAAAAAUAAAGAAGAAAGAAAUAAAACAGCAAAAAAAAGAAAAGAAAUAAAAUAGCAAAUUUUGCAAAAAAAAAAUUUUAAAAAAAUAGAAAUAAAUUAAACAACAAUUUCGCUGCUACUGGGCUUCGAACCUUAGACUUGAAGUAUGGUAAACAGGCUCCUAAAACAACUAAGCUAAGGACUCUAUUGAUAUUAAUUUCAUUAACACUAAUAUAUAAUGUAUAAACUCGAUGCAAUUUUUUUUUUUAUUUCUGGACCAGAUCCGGGUCGGGUCGUGACCCAGGAUCCGCGCGCACCAUGUGAGCGCUGAGUUUGUUAAGCG
Molecule: long non-coding RNA, 621 nt
Filed under: Salvia miltiorrhiza (redroot sage)
Lineage: Eukaryota; Viridiplantae; Streptophyta; Magnoliopsida; Lamiales; Lamiaceae
Description: long non-coding RNA (SMIL_LNC012606)
Source: RNAcentral